RNAcentral lists this unclassified non-coding RNA (345 nucleotides) under soil metagenome. RNAcentral describes it as "partial contains 5.8S ribosomal RNA, internal transcribed spacer 2, and large subunit ribosomal RNA". The stretch from base 1 to 120 matches the Rfam family "5.8S ribosomal RNA", at positions 35 to 154 of the family's 154-position model. The record is from RNAcentral.
GAUGAAGAACGUAGUGAAAUGAGAUACGUAAUGUGAAUUGCAGAAUUCAGUGAAUCAUCGAGUCUUUGAACGCACAUUGCGCCCUCUGGUAUUCCGGAGGGCAUGCCUGUCCGAGCGUCAUUGCUGCCCUCAAGCACGGCUUGUGUGUUGGGCCCCGCCCCCCGAUCCCGGGGGGCGGGCCCGAAAGGCAGCGGCGGCACCGCGUCCGGUCCUCGAGCGUAUGGGGCUUUGUCACCCGCUCUGUAGGCCCGGCCGGCGCUUGCCGAUCAACCAAACUUUUUUCCAGGUUGACCUCGGAUCAGGUAGGGAUACCCGCUGAACUUAAGCAUAUCAAUAAGCGGAGGA